Molecule: ribosomal RNA, 105 nt
Filed under: Paraclostridium sordellii
Lineage: Bacteria; Bacillati; Bacillota; Clostridia; Peptostreptococcales; Peptostreptococcaceae
Source: RNAcentral
AGCAAAGAGGAUACACCUGUUCCCAUUCCGAACACAGAAGUUAAGCUCUUUAGCGCCGAUGGUACUUGGUGGGAAGCCGCCUGGGAGAGUAGGACAUAGCCACGU